UAGGGAAUCUUCGGCAAUGGGGGGAACCCUGACCGAGCAACGCCGCGUGAGUGAAGAAGGUUUUCGGAUCGUAAAGCUCUGUUGUUAAGGAAGAACGAGUGUGAGAAUGGAAAGUUCAUACUGUGACGGUACUUAACCAGAAAGGGACGGCUAACUAUGUGCCAGCAGCCGCGGUAAUACGUAGGUCCCGAGCGUUGUCCGGAUUUAUUGGGCGUAAAGCGAGCGCAGGCGGUUAGAUAAGUCUGAAGUUAAAGGCAGUGGCUCAACCAUUGUAGGCUUUGGAAACUGUUUAACUUGAGUGCAGAAGGGGAGAGUGGAAUUCCAUGUGUAGCGGUGAAAUGCGUAGAUAUAUGGAGGAACACCGGUGGCGAAAGCGGCUCUCUGGUCUGUAACUGACGCUGAGGCUCGAAAGCGUGGGGAGCGAACAGG
This 429-nucleotide ribosomal RNA is filed under the name Bacteroidota bacterium. RNAcentral's name for it is "Bacteroidetes bacterium partial 16S ribosomal RNA". It matches the Rfam family "Bacterial small subunit ribosomal RNA", at positions 355 to 776 of the family's 1533-position model. Lineage: Bacteria; Pseudomonadati; Bacteroidota. The record is from RNAcentral.